RNAcentral lists this ribosomal RNA (650 nucleotides) under Lactiplantibacillus plantarum. Its description in RNAcentral is "bacterial SSU rRNA". It matches the Rfam family "Bacterial small subunit ribosomal RNA", at positions 162 to 799 of the family's 1533-position model. Lineage: Bacteria; Bacillati; Bacillota; Bacilli; Lactobacillales; Lactobacillaceae. The record is from RNAcentral.
GCUAAUACCGCAUAACAACUUGGACCGCAUGGUCCGAGUUUGAAAGAUGGCUUCGGCUAUCACUUUUGGAUGGUCCCGCGGCGUAUUAGCUAGAUGGUGGGGUAACGGCUCACCAUGGCAAUGAUACGUAGCCGACCUGAGAGGGUAAUCGGCCACAUUGGGACUGAGACACGGCCCAAACUCCUACGGGAGGCAGCAGUAGGGAAUCUUCCACAAUGGACGAAAGUCUGAUGGAGCAACGCCGCGUGAGUGAAGAAGGGUUUCGGCUCGUAAAACUCUGUUGUUAAAGAAGAACAUAUCUGAGAGUAACUGUUCAGGUAUUGACGGUAUUUAACCAGAAAGCCACGGCUAACUACGUGCCAGCAGCCGCGGUAAUACGUAGGUGGCAAGCGUUGUCCGGAUUUAUUGGGCGUAAAGCGAGCGCAGGCGGUUUUUUAAGUCUGAUGUGAAAGCCUUCGGCUCAACCGAAGAAGUGCAUCGGAAACUGGGAAACUUGAGUGCAGAAGAGGACAGUGGAACUCCAUGUGUAGCGGUGAAAUGCGUAGAUAUAUGGAAGAACACCAGUGGCGAAAGCGGCUGUCUGGUCUGUAACUGACGCUGAGGCUCGAAAGUAUGGGUAGCAACAGGAUUAGAUACCCUGGUAGUCCAUA